RNAcentral lists this ribosomal RNA (1279 nucleotides) under Cucujus haematodes. RNAcentral's name for it is "16S ribosomal RNA". The stretch from base 1040 to 1198 matches the Rfam family "Archaeal large subunit ribosomal RNA", at positions 2542 to 2701 of the family's 2987-position model. Lineage: Eukaryota; Metazoa; Arthropoda; Insecta; Coleoptera; Cucujidae. The record is from RNAcentral.
AUUAAGUUUUUUAUUUUAUUUGGAAGUUUUGUUUUAGAUUAAAAGAAGUAGAUUAAUUUUUAUUAUAUUAAAGAAAAAAUUUAUAAUAAUUAUAGUGAAUUAGUAUUGUGAGAGAAUUAGUUUAUAUUAAAAAUAAGAAAAUUUAAAAUAUUGUACCUUGUGUAUCAGGGUUGAUUAAAUAUUGAUUAAAAAUUUUAAUUUUUCCGAAUUUAAAAGAGUUAAUAAUUUAUAUAUUUUAUUGUAGAAUAAAUAUUUUUAAUAAAUUAUUAGUAAUGAAACGUUAUUCGUUUUUAAAUAUAUCUGGUUUUUAAAGAAAUUAAUUUAAUUAAGUUUUUAUUUAUUAUUAAAUUAAUUUUUUAAUUUAAUUUUAAUAAAAGUUUAUAUUUUUAGGGAAAAGCUUGAAAAUAAAUUUUUAUAAGUUUAUAAAUUUUGUAUAAAAUGUAGGAUUAAAAUUUUUUAUCAUUAAGAAAAUGUUAUAAUUAAUUAUAUUUGAAUAUAAUUUUUAUUAAGUUUAAGUUUUUUAUUUAAAUUUUAAUUUUAAUUAAAAAAAUUAAGUAAUAAUGAUUAAAUUAGUAUAAUAAUAUGUAAAUAUAAAUAUAUUUAUAAGUUUAGUUAAAGGAAUUCGGCAAAAAUUUUUUCCACCUGUUUAUUAAAAACAUGUCCUAUAGAUAAUAUUUUUAGGUCUGUCCUGCCCACUGAUUUUAUUAAAUGGCCGCGGUAUUUUGACCGUGCAAAGGUAGCAUAAUCAUUAGUUUUUUUAUUGAAAGCUGGAAUGAAGGGAUGAAUGAGAAAAUUUCUGUCUCUAAUUAAUUAAUAGAAUUUUAUUUUUAAGUUAAAAAGCUUAAAUUAUUUUAAAAGACGAGAAGACCCUAUAGAGUUUAAUAAUUAAUAGUUUAUUUUUUUUUGGUUUUAAAAUUUAAUUUAUUUUUAAUUAUUUAGUUGGGGUGAUUGAAAAAUUUAAUUAACUUUUUUUAUAUUUAGACAAAUAUAUUUGAGUCUUUGAUCCGUUUACAUGAUUAAAAGAAAUAAUUACCUUAGGGAUAACAGCGUAAUUUUUUUAGAGAGUUCUUAUCGAAAAAAAAGUUUGCGACCUCGAUGUUGGAUUAAAAUUUAAAUUUGGUGUAGAAGCUGAGUUUUUUAGUCUGUUCGACUAUUGAAAUUUUACAUGAUCUGAGUUUAAACCGGUGUGAGCCAGGUUGGUUUCUAUCUUUAAAUAAAAAUAAUAUUUUAGUACGAAAGGACCAAAUAUUAAAUUUAAAAUUUAAUUUUUGAAUAAUAU